This 20-nucleotide non-coding RNA is filed under the name Arabidopsis thaliana (thale cress). Lineage: Eukaryota; Viridiplantae; Streptophyta; Magnoliopsida; Brassicales; Brassicaceae. The record is from RNAcentral.
UCAGAAGGUGCAUGCAAUGU